GUCCGAACAGCUCCAUCGGUAGAGCUUGAGACUCUUUAUCUCAGGGUUGUGGGUUUGAGUCUCAUGUUGGGCA
Molecule: non-coding RNA, 73 nt
Organism: Podarcis lilfordi (Lilford's wall lizard)
Lineage: Eukaryota; Metazoa; Chordata; Lepidosauria; Squamata; Lacertidae
Source: the annotation of a GenBank genome assembly